GGAGGGAUCAUUAAAUGAAAAAAAAACAACAAGCUAGUGAUAGUCCGUACCAACCGCCAGGUCGUUUCGAUCGGUCGGUUGGUGGAUCUUUGGAGUAUUGUAGGUGCAGGUUGGCUUCUGGUCAAAAGCAUCCUACGAUAUUUGGAAGAUUAUUUGGCUUCUAACCAAAAAAAUAUGGCACUUACCCAAUGAUUCUGGAUUUUUACGGUCCGGGUCCGGGUUUUUGUCGAACACUUGUCAGCGGGGGAUAUCUCGGUUCCCAUAACGAUGAAGAGCGCAGUGAACUGCGAUAAACAAUGUGAAUUGCAGAACUACGUGAAUCAUCUAGGUCUUGAACGCAUCUUGCACCCCACCGCAAGGUUGGGGUAGGACAAGUUGAGCGCCAUACCAUUAAAUCACUGGCAUUUUACCAGUGCUAUUGGGUCUGGGAUUUCACCAGUCCUUAAAUUACAACCCUAUUGGGAAAACAUUGUAACCAAAGUCUGUGAUCGACAAAACGUUCGGUGUUUUACCACAAGGGAAGAUGAUAAUAUGUCUGAUGACAUAUGAUUUUUGUCGAAUUUUUUUUCGACUACAUGGCCUCAGUCUAGUCCAGGCUACCCACUGAACUUAAGCAUAUCAUUAUGUGGAGGAAAAGAAACCAACUGGGAUUCCCUUAGUAAGGGCGACUGAACAGGGAGCAGCUCAAACCUAAAAUCGACCGGGGGUAACACUUCGGCUCGAAUUGUAGUUUAACGAGUGGAUUCCAGGUACGGCCCCCGUCUAAGUUCUCUGGAACGGGAUGCCAUAGAAGGUAACAGCCCUGUGAGGCGGGUGUUGACCGUACCGUAUGUUUCCACUUCGAGGAGUCGGGCUAUUUGAGAGCAUAGCCCAAAGCGGGUGGUAAGCUCCAUCCAAAGCUAAAUAUUAGUGGGAGACCGAUAGCGAACAAGUACCGCGAGGGAAAGAUGAAAACAACUCUGGAAAGAGAGUUAAAAGUAGUUGAAACCGCUGACAACGAAGCGGAUGUCCCUUCCGGCCGCUGCGAGCUUGAAUCAAUAAAAUUCUCACACGGUAAUCUGUCAUACGUGGGCAACUGCGGUGGUGGAUCAUUAGGGUGAGGUUUUGUGCACUUCAGUUCGCUGAUGCAACAUCUUUGUAUGGGCGAAUUGGGAGGAUAUGGGAGGUAACCAUCUUUUUGGUGGUGAAUACUGUGUUCACGACCCUAACAGCCUAUACACUGCCGGUCUAAUGGACCAAUCCUAUCUCUGCGAGGGACUGCUUUUUCGGUGGAAGUCCCGUGCUAUCCGGUAGCGGGUGGUACGGGGCCAUAUCGGGUGGGCAGUCUACUAUGGAUGGGAGAAUGUUGCAAGGGGGGUGCAUCUGUCCCGUCUUGAAACACGGACCAAGGAGUGUAGAUUGUAUGCAAGCCUAAGGGACAUGAAAUCCUGGAGGCGAAGCGAAAGCAAUUUGUGUGAAGUGGUAAAACACUGCAACACGACCCGAUCAUAACACAUCGUGGGAUGUAUCGAGGUAGAGUGUACAGUCUACGACCCGAAAGACCGCGAACUUUACCUGCACAGGGUGAAGCCAGAAGAAAUUCUGGUGGAGGCCCGUAGCGGUUCUGACGUGCAAAUCGAUCGUCAAAUGUGGGUAAAGCGGCGAAAGACUAAUCGAGCGGUCUAGUAGCUGGUUCCUUC
RNAcentral lists this unclassified non-coding RNA (1679 nucleotides) under uncultured fungus. RNAcentral's name for it is "sequence contains 18S rRNA gene, ITS1, 5.8S rRNA gene, ITS2, 28S rRNA gene". The stretch from base 577 to 1679 matches the Rfam family "Eukaryotic large subunit ribosomal RNA", at positions 1 to 961 of the family's 3401-position model. The record is from RNAcentral. Lineage: Eukaryota; Fungi.